UACGAAGGGGGCUAGCGUUGUUCGGAAUUACUGGGCGUAAAGGGCGCGUCGGCGGCGCGUUAAGUCAGGUGUGAAAGCCCUGGGCUCAACCCAGGAAUUGCACUUGAUACUGACGUGCUUGAAUCCGGAAGAGGAUGACGGAAUUCCCAGUGUAGAGGUGAAAUUCAUUGAUAUUGGGAAGAACACCAGUGGCGAAGGCGGUCAUCUGGUCCGGUAUUGACGCUGAGGCGCGAAAGCGUGGGGAGCAAACAGG
Molecule: ribosomal RNA, 253 nt
Filed under: uncultured bacterium
Lineage: Bacteria
Description: partial 16S ribosomal RNA
Rfam family: Bacterial small subunit ribosomal RNA
Source: RNAcentral